RNAcentral lists this ribosomal RNA (468 nucleotides) under uncultured bacterium. Its description in RNAcentral is "partial 16S ribosomal RNA". It matches the Rfam family "Bacterial small subunit ribosomal RNA", at positions 28 to 507 of the family's 1533-position model. The record is from RNAcentral.
GAUGAACGCUGGCGGCGUGCUUAACACAUGCAAGUCGAACGGUGAAGGCGGAGCUUGCUCUGCUGGAUCAGUGGCGAACGGGUGAGUAACACGUGAGCAAUCUGCCCCUGACUCUGGGAUAAGCGCUGGAAACGGCGUCUAAUACUGGAUACGAGCUGCGAAGGCAUCUUCAGCAGCUGGAAAGAACUUCGGUCAGGGAUGAGCUCGCGGCCUAUCAGCUUGUUGGUGAGGUAACGGCUCACCAAGGCGUCGACGGGUAGCCGGCCUGAGAGGGUGACCGGCCACACUGGGACUGAGACACGGCCCAGACUCCUACGGGAGGCAGCAGUGGGGAAUAUUGCACAAUGGGCGAAAGCCUGAUGCAGCAACGCCGCGUGAGGGACGACGGCCUUCGUGUUGUAAACCUCUUUUAGCAGGGAAGAAGCGAAAGUGACGGUACCUGCAGAAAAAGCGCCGGCUAACUACGUG